AAGUCGUAACAAGGUAUCCGUAGGUGAACCUGCGGAUGGAUCAUUACCAAUUUUAUAUACUAGUGUGUAUGCCGCUGUCAAAGGUGGUACUACACUACUACUAUUAUGUAAACGUUGAACUAGAUCAAUUGGUGUGGAUUGCUUGGGAAUGGACGAAGCGACAAGCCUCUUCCGGACAGGCAAACCCCACACUGAUACCCUUUUCAAUAUAAUUUACUAGUACAUACUACAAACAAACAAACAAACAAAAGCUAUAAUAGGACUUAUAAACAGGCUGAGUGGGUAAAAUCCUCGGCUUAACCAAUAUAACUAUUACAACUUUCGGCAAUGGAUCUCUAGGCUCUC
This 345-nucleotide unclassified non-coding RNA is filed under the name Ramicandelaber taiwanensis. RNAcentral's name for it is "partial internal transcribed spacer region". The stretch from base 1 to 46 matches the Rfam family "Eukaryotic small subunit ribosomal RNA", at positions 1786 to 1831 of the family's 1831-position model. Lineage: Eukaryota; Fungi; Kickxellomycota; Ramicandelaberales; Ramicandelaberaceae. The record is from RNAcentral.